This 1240-nucleotide long non-coding RNA is filed under the name Ursus thibetanus thibetanus. RNAcentral describes it as "lncRNA (ENSUTTG00000000561.1)". Lineage: Eukaryota; Metazoa; Chordata; Mammalia; Carnivora; Ursidae. The record is from RNAcentral.
GUGAAAUUUGCUUUUGCAGCUGUUCUUUACAAAAUGGCUCCCAUUGAAUAAUGAGUGUCCUGCUUUUUAUUUAAAAAUUUUCAACCCAUAUUAGUUUCCAAAUAACAACAUCAAGUUUGUUGGCUUUGCUGAACUUGGCUGCAGGGUUGACCAGUACUUACUGGCACGUGAGCAGGCGCCCGUCCUCCUUCUGUUGACUGCUUCUUCAGUUACAGGAAUGAAAAAGAGAUUUUUCCAGAGAAGCUUCAGGGUUUUUCCCCUGAUGUCCAGCACUAGCACAACUCAUGACUUCAUUUAAGAUGCUGAAAUAAACUCUAAUUGAAUGCACCAUCUGGAAACAUUGAACUACAUGGAGAAAGCAGUGGGAUCAAUUCACAUCAUCCUCCACACCCCCACUGGACGCAGAUACAGUCCCAUUCCAAGGACUAAGAGCAUGCUGAGCUUUGGAUUCUCUUUUUUUGUAAAGCCCCGUCACUACAACAUUCAAAAGACGUGUGAAAAUGUACGUAACAUAUAUGGUAAAGCCAUCUAUGUUGACAUAAAUGGAUUCCCUGGCUUGUCCGAGGGCACACACAGAGUGCCGGAGGAAGGGUGUGAGUUCAGUGCCUCUGACUUCUGGUGUUACCCACUUGCUGCUAACAUUUCCUUCUCAUUCGUGGCUGGGCAGAGACUCCCCCAACUAGACUCAUAUCCUGAUUGCCCAGAAACAGGUUAUACUACUCACCUGGGCAAAGCAGAUGCAAAGAUUAUUGCAAUCAUCUGUUGAUAGAGGUCUUUGACCAGCAGAGAGAAUGCAGAGCUAGUGCGGGACAAGUUGGUGGAAUAUAACAGUAAUGCCAAGAUUCUGGGGUUGGAGGGUCUCUUUGAACACAGGAUUCAUCACAUGCAAGUUGUGCAACCUUGGACAUGGAACUUAACCUACUCAUGCCUCAGUUUCCCCAGCUAUACAGUGGGGGUAAGAAAAGGGGCUGUAGGGGUGCCUGGGUGGCUCAGUCAUUAAGCGUCUGCCUUCGGCUCAGGGCGUGAUCCCGGCGUUAUGGGUUCGAGCCCCGCAUCAGACUCCUCCGCUGGGAGCCUGCUGCUUCCUCUCCCACUCCCCUGCUUGUGUUCCCUCUCUCGCUGGCUGUCUCUAUGUCAAAUAAAUAAAUAAAAAUCUUUAAAAAAAAAAAAAGAAAAGGAGCUGAGUGCUGGAGUUGUUUUGAAGAUUAAAUGAAUUCUCAUUUGUGAAGGUCUUGAAAGA